AGGAAGAAGUGACUUUGAACCAGAUCUUGAAGGAUGGAAAGGCUUUGCAGAGAAAGGGAGAGUAGGGAGGGUAAAGCCCUUCAGGCAGAGAAGCAGCAGGAGAAUCGGGCAGACGCCUUCCUCAAAGUUACGAAAUCACCUUAGAACUGCUGAGAGAUAUUUGGCGUGGGUCCAUAUGCAGCGCUGGCACACGGGGAUGGGGAAUCUCCUUCCAAAAACCUAAUUUGUCAACACCCUGGGCUCGGAGGAGAAAAACAGAAGCCAGAGUCUCGUUAGCUUUGAACGUCCACAGUCCCUUGCAACCGAGUGGCUGCUGUGACAUAGACACAGCCUGUGUAAAUAGCACCGGAUGGGAUUGCAGCUAAUAGGGUUAUUAAUACCUGUCACAUCCCAGGAUGGCAGAAUAAUGCGGAGGUUUUCUACUAUAGAUUAAAACCAACCAACGGGGAAUUUUCCGAGUCUGGCAGCCACAGCUUUCUCUUCAGACAUCUUUUCCUCCAGCCAUGCGGACAGGGGAAGGUAGAUGCUUGCCAUCUACCAAGUAUGGUGAGAGUUUGAAAAGAGGCAGACAUAAGGAAGAGUCAAGGAAGAAAAAUGCCUCAGAAAUCCAAGAGGGGGUCUAUCAUCAUCAUCACCAUCAUCACCACCUGGCUGCUAUGCUACUUCCCUGGAGGACUGAGGCCUGGAAGUCGUGCCUUGAGAUUUCCACCCUGUGCUCUGGCUUUUGCUCCUUCAGCAGACUCAGAGGUAUGGUCAGGCGGAGGGCCGGCUGCCUGCUAACACAGCCACUCGCACACGCGGAAACCCUCCUUCCCCAUCGUUCCUGCACCACCCAGGCUCCACAGUACAAACGGCAGUGGGUGGGAGGGCAGGCAGGAAAACUGAGUGAGUCACUGUUGCACCUUGCCCCUGCCAUCUCUGCCAGGCCCUGGCCCGAUGCCCACAGGAAGGGAGUGCCCUCACCUCCGACCCUCCAAGGUGGGGGCAAGGGAUGGUGAAGAGGAUACAGGGAGCCCUCAGAACAAAGCCCCCAUCCAAAUGUAAGCUGCAUUGAUGGGAACUAAGUGACAAGCCCACCCUCUCCAUCCCCCACCUCAGCAGGAGUCUGGAAAAAGAUGAUGCCCAGCUGCUGGCAGCCCAGAGAGCCAUCCUGGGUGGUCAGCUGUUUACAGCCCAACCCUUCCCUCUUUCCUGAUAAUCCUUCUGCCCACCCAGCAGCUGAGGCACCAUGCCAGCCUCAAGCUGAGCAGGGUUCUCAGACAUCUCCAGAUGAUUCACUGGCUGGCGAAACAGACCAGAACAUGAGGCCUUUAGGGGUCCCAGGUGCCCCUGGAAUCUCAGGAUUGAGAUCUGCACUGGCUUUGUCUCUAGAAGCCACUGACACUCCCUCUCUCUCUCUACCAGAAAACUCUGGGAGGCCCAGGACAGAGGAAAUCAAGGGCAUGCUUGGAAGGAGAUUGAGAAUAUUCUGGAAUGCAUUCUCUGGGGCCAGGGCCAGCUCCCCAUGAAAAGCCUUCACAAGUCCCUCCUCCUCUUCCCCAGCUCCUCAGAAAGAAAGAAGGAAAGAAAGAAAGAAAGAAAGAAAGAAAGAAAGAAAGAAAGAAAGAAAGAAAGAAAGAAAAAUGGUGAGAAGCACAAUAAAAUCAGUAGGUGACAUUGCUAUUAAUCCCAGGACUCUCGCACAUAGAACAAUUUAAAGAGCUGGUAAAGAAGCACACAUGAGAAGUGUUAUUCCUGAGUGGGGACAAAGCACUCAAUACUACCAGAAUGAGGGAGGCCCCUGCUCGCUGCCCUCCGCCCUCUCUGCUGUUUACAGUAAAACUUCAUCACAAGAUGCUAUUAAGCUUGGCAGUUACUGGAAAUGCUACUGUCGCUGUUGACUUCCAUAGCCCCAGGAAAUUUUAUCCAAGACAGAGUGGAUUCAACAGAGAGACCCAAACCACCAGUUGUUGCUCUUCAGAAAGUAGAAGGUGCCCUAGAGAGAGAUAGUAGCCAUUCUUGGGCUGGGGAAUGUCGGCUGCCUCCCCCUGCUCUGGGGGCCAUAAGGACGAUAAUGAAAUCAGCAGAGCUGGUGGGAUAGAUUCCAGAGCAAAAUGAAAAGCAGUUUGGCCAUUAUGAGGAAGGCCAGAGAGCACAGUCCAACCUCUUCUAUCUGUCUUCUCAGCUACCUUGAUGGAAGGAGAGAAAUAGCCUAUUCUGUGAUCUAUAAAU
Molecule: long non-coding RNA, 2211 nt
Organism: Leopardus geoffroyi (Geoffroy's cat)
Lineage: Eukaryota; Metazoa; Chordata; Mammalia; Carnivora; Felidae
Exons: 2
Source: RefSeq, a predicted model, not a curated record